UUUUAGUGGCGGACGGGUGAGUAACGCGUGGGUAACCUGCCUCACACUGGGGGAUAACACUUAGAAAUAGGUGCUAAUACCGCAUAAGCGCACGGGACUGCAUGGUCUUGUGUGAAAAACUCCGGUGGUGUGAGAUGGACCCGCGUCUGAUUAGCUAGUUGGCGGGGUAACGGCCCACCAAGGCGACGAUCAGUAGCCGGCCUGAGAGGGUGGACGGCCACAUUGGGACUGAGACACGGCCCAAACUCCUACGGAAGGCAGCAG
This 264-nucleotide ribosomal RNA is filed under the name uncultured bacterium. Its description in RNAcentral is "partial 16S ribosomal RNA". It matches the Rfam family "Bacterial small subunit ribosomal RNA", at positions 90 to 354 of the family's 1533-position model. The record is from RNAcentral.